This 253-nucleotide ribosomal RNA is filed under the name uncultured bacterium. RNAcentral describes it as "partial 16S ribosomal RNA". It matches the Rfam family "Bacterial small subunit ribosomal RNA", at positions 524 to 776 of the family's 1533-position model. The record is from RNAcentral.
UACGUAGGGAGCAAGCGUUGUUCGGAUUUACUGGGCGUAAAGGGCGCGUAGGCGGCUGAUCAAGUCAGCUGUGAAAUCUCCGAGCUUAACUCGGAACUGUCAGCUGAUACUGUUUUGCUAGAGUGCGGAAGGGGCAAUCGGAAUUCUUGGUGUAGCGGUGAAAUGCGUAGAUAUCAAGUGGAACACCAGUGGCGAAGGCGAGUCCCUGGAAAACUCCUGACACUGAGGCACGAAAGCUAGGGGAGCAAACGGG